Long non-coding RNA from Sapajus apella (tufted capuchin), 182 nucleotides. RefSeq lists it as uncharacterized. The transcript has 3 exons. Lineage: Eukaryota; Metazoa; Chordata; Mammalia; Primates; Cebidae. The record is from RefSeq and is a predicted model, not a curated record.
UUCUGUCUUGCCAGUCUGUGAGGGUUGGAGGAGCCCAAGCCUUCGGAUUCAGUUUCCUUUCUUACCUGAUGUUUUCCUGCCAGAACACCAUGGUUUGCCUUGAGUUGGAAGUGGUUUGCAUUUACACCUGUAAAUGUAUUCAUCCUUUUAAUUUAUGUAAGGUUUUUUUUUUAUUAUACACC